RNAcentral lists this ribosomal RNA (431 nucleotides) under uncultured bacterium. RNAcentral describes it as "partial 16S ribosomal RNA". It matches the Rfam family "Bacterial small subunit ribosomal RNA", at positions 29 to 507 of the family's 1533-position model. The record is from RNAcentral.
AGCGAACGCUGGCGGCAGGCUUAACACAUGCCAGUCGAGCGCCCCGCAAGGGGAGCGGCAGACGGGAGAGUAACACGUGGGAACAUACCUUUUGGUUCGGAACAACUGAGGGAAACUUCAGCUAAUACCGGAUAAGCCCUUACGGGGAAAGAUUUAUCGCCGAAAGAUUGGCCCGCGUCUGAUUAGCUAGUUGGUGAGGUAACGGCUCACCAAGGCGACGAUCAGUAGCUGGUCUGAGAGGAUGAUCAGCCUCACUGGGACUGAGACACGGCCCAGACUCCUACGGGAGGCAGCAGUGGGGAAUAUUGGACAAUGGAGGCAACCCUGAUCCAGCCAUGCCGCGUGAGUGAUGAAGGCCUUAGGGUUGUAAAGCUCUUUUGCCCGGGAAGAUAAUGACGGUACCGGGAGAAUAAGCCCCGGCUAACUUCGUG